This 700-nucleotide ribosomal RNA is filed under the name uncultured Candidatus Tremblayella sp. RNAcentral's name for it is "bacterial SSU rRNA". It matches the Rfam family "Bacterial small subunit ribosomal RNA", at positions 662 to 1357 of the family's 1533-position model. Lineage: Bacteria; Pseudomonadati; Pseudomonadota; Betaproteobacteria. The record is from RNAcentral.
UAGAAUUCCAGGAGUAGCGGUGAAAUGCGUAGAUAUCUGGAGGAAUACCAAAGGCGAAGGCAGUCCCCUGGUCCGAUACUGACACUGAGGUACGAAAGCGUGGGGAGCAAACAGGAUUAGAUACCCUGGUAGUCCACGCCCUAAACGAUGUCGAUUAGCCAUUGGAAGGACCCCUUUUCCUUUCAGUGACGUAGCUAACGCGUUAAAUCGACCGCCUGGGAAGUACGACCGCAAGGUUAAAACUCAAAGGAAUUGACGGGGACCUGAACAAGCGGUGAAUGAUGUGGAUUAAUUCGAUGCUACGCGAAGAACCUUACCUACCUUUGACAUGGCCAAAGUUCUACCGAGAGGCGGAAGUACUCGUAAGAGGAUUGGCGCACAGGUGCUGCAUGGUUGUCGUCAGUUCGUGUCGUGAGAUGUUGGGUUCAGUCCCGCAACGAACGCAACCCUUACCUUUAAUUGCUCCUAUUUUAACAGGCACUUUAAAGAAACUGCCAAUGAUAAGUUGGAGGAAGGUGGGGAUCACGUCAAGUCCGCAUGGCCUUUAUAGGUAGGGCUUCACACGUCAUACAAUGGUUAGAACAAAGAGCUGCAAAUUCGUAAGAAGGAGCCAAUCUCACAAACCUAACCCCAGUUCGAAUUGCGGUCUGCAACUCGAGCGCAUGAAGCCGGAAUCGCUAGUAAUCGUGGAUCAGAAUGC